Molecule: ribosomal RNA, 253 nt
Filed under: uncultured bacterium
Lineage: Bacteria
Description: partial 16S ribosomal RNA
Rfam family: Bacterial small subunit ribosomal RNA
Source: RNAcentral
UACGUAGGGUGCAAGCGUUGUCCGGAAUUAUUGGGCGUAAAGAGCUCGUAGGCGGUUUGUUGCGUCGGCUGUGAAAUCCCGAGGCUCAACCUCGGGUCUGCAGUCGAUACGAGCAAACUAGAGGGUUGCAGGGGAGACUGGAAUUCCUGGUGUAGCGGUGAAAUGCGCAGAUAUCAGGAGGAACACCGGUGGCGAAGGCGGCUCACUGGACCGGAACUGACGCUGAGGCGCGAAAGCGUGGGGAGCAAACAGG